UGCCAAGCCGCCGCGGUAACACGGGGGGCGCAAGCGUUAUUCGGAAUUAUUGGGCGUAAAGCGCGCGUAGGCGGGCUGGUCAGUUGGGGGUGAAAUCCCGAGGCUCAACCUCGGAACUGCCCUCAAUACUACCAGUCUCGAGUUCGGGAGAGGUGAGUGGAAUUCCUAGUGUAGAGGUGAAAUUCGUAGAUAUUAGGAAGAACACCAGUGGCGAAGGCGGCUCACUGGCCCGAUACUGACGCUGAGGUGCGAAAGCGUGGGGAGCAAACAGGAUUAGAUA
RNAcentral lists this ribosomal RNA (280 nucleotides) under uncultured bacterium. RNAcentral describes it as "partial 16S ribosomal RNA". It matches the Rfam family "Bacterial small subunit ribosomal RNA", at positions 506 to 784 of the family's 1533-position model. The record is from RNAcentral.